GAGAGAAUAGAGAGAGAAAGAGAGAGAAUAGAGAGACAGAGAAAAGGGAGAGAGAGAAUAGAGAGAGAGUAAUUCAUCUCUGUCUCCUCGGCUGACACCACCGCAUAAUCUGAGACCUGAGAGUCGCCACAUCAAACAUCCCAUCUCUACUAGUGACAUCACAGUGAGUGAUGGGUUCUGCAUCCUAAAUGCCUCCCUAAAUACUGUAGUGCACUACUGUUGACUUGGGCCCACCGGGCUCUGUUUAGAAAGUGUCACGCUUCAUAAGGUACUGUUAGGGACACAGCCUUAGUGGCGAAGAUGCAUGACAUCAGACCGCGUGACUGUGUGGGAAAUAGAUAUGAGAGGUUUAGGAAAGUAUUUCGGGGGGAAUUCUUUGUUAAUAUCACCACCAUGGUAAGAAAGGCCUGUUGGGUAGACCUGUCCUAUCAGCUUACAUGGCUGGAAUGUUUCACAGGCGUGUGGUAGGUAGGUAGUCUUAUCCUGUAGGAGAGAUGUCUCCAGUAGGUAGGUAGUCUUAUCCUAUACUCUGUAGGAGAGAUGUCUCCAGUAGGUAGGUAGUCUUAUCCUGUAGGAGAGAUGUCUCCAGUAGGUAGGUAGUCUUAUCCUGUAGGAGAGAUGUCUCCAGUAGGUAGGUAGUCUUAUCCUAUACUCUGUAGGAGAGAUGUCUCCAGUAGGUAGGUAGUCUUAUCCUGUAGGAGAGAUGUCUCCAGUAGGUAGGUAGUCUUAUCCUGUAGGAGAGAUGUCUCCAGUAGGUAGGUAGUCUUAUCCUGU
Molecule: non-coding RNA, 774 nt
Organism: Oncorhynchus mykiss (rainbow trout)
Lineage: Eukaryota; Metazoa; Chordata; Actinopteri; Salmoniformes; Salmonidae
Source: RefSeq, a predicted model, not a curated record